UUCACAUUUGAGUGAGUGGCGAACUGGUGAGUAACACGGUACGGGAAACCUCGCCCAGAAGCGGGGGAUAACACCUGGAAACAGAUGCUAAUACCGCAUAACAACUUGGACCGCAUGGUCCGAGUUUGAAAGAUGGCUUCGGCUAUCACUUCUGGAUGGUCCCGCGGCGUAUUAGCUAGAUGGUGAGGUAACGGCUCACCAUGGCAAUGAUACGUAGCCCGACCUGAGAGGGUAAUCGGCCACAUUGGGACUGAGACACGGCCCAAACUCC
Molecule: ribosomal RNA, 271 nt
Filed under: uncultured Lactobacillus sp.
Lineage: Bacteria; Bacillati; Bacillota; Bacilli; Lactobacillales; Lactobacillaceae
Description: partial 16S ribosomal RNA
Rfam family: Bacterial small subunit ribosomal RNA
Source: RNAcentral